GCGUCGGUAGGCCAUCUGGCGAGCCGCAAGAUUUAGGAUCUUGUGUCUGUCGGUUCGAAUCCGACCCGGCGCACCA
RNAcentral lists this transfer RNA (76 nucleotides) under marine sediment metagenome. RNAcentral describes it as "tRNA-Leu". It matches the Rfam family "tRNA". Rfam says of the family: Transfer RNA (tRNA) molecules are approximately 80 nucleotides in length. Their secondary structure includes four short double-helical elements and three loops (D, anti-codon, and T loops). Further hydrogen bonds mediate the characteristic L-shaped molecular structure. tRNAs have two regions of fundamental functional importance: the anti-codon, which is responsible for specific mRNA codon recognition, and the 3' end, to which the tRNAs corresponding amino acid is attached (by aminoacyl-tRNA synthetases). tRNAs cope with the degeneracy of the genetic code in two manners: having more than one tRNA (with a specific anti-codon) for a particular amino acid; and 'wobble' base-pairing, i.e. permitting non-standard base-pairing at the 3rd anti-codon position. The record is from RNAcentral.